Molecule: ribosomal RNA, 459 nt
Filed under: uncultured bacterium
Lineage: Bacteria
Description: partial 16S ribosomal RNA
Rfam family: Bacterial small subunit ribosomal RNA
Source: RNAcentral
GAUGAACGCUGGCGGCGUGCCUAAUACAUGCAAGUCGAGCGGUAAGGCCUCUUCGGAGGUACACGAGCGGCGGACGGCUGAGUAACACGUAGGAACGUACCCCAAAGUGAGGAAUAAGCACCAGAAAUGGUGUCUAAUACCGCAUGUGCUAUAAGGAGUAAAGCUUCGGCGCUUUGAGAACGGCCUGCGCAUGAUUAGCUUGUUGGUGAGGUAAAAGCUCACCAAGGCGACGAUCAUUAGCUGGUCUGAGAGGAUGAUCAGCCAGACUGGGACUGAGACACGGCCCAGACUCCUACGGGAGGCAGCAGUAGGGAAUUUUCCACAAUGGGCGAAAGCCUGAUGGAGCAACGCCGCGUGCAGGAUGAAUGCCUUCGGGUUGUAAACUGCUUUUAUAUGUGACGAUUAUGACGGUAGCAUAUGAAUAAGGAUCGGCUAACUCCGUGCCAGCCGCCGCGGUAA